Molecule: unclassified non-coding RNA, 274 nt
Filed under: Oidiodendron sp.
Lineage: Eukaryota; Fungi; Ascomycota; Leotiomycetes; Myxotrichaceae
Description: partial contains 5.8S ribosomal RNA, internal transcribed spacer 2, and large subunit ribosomal RNA
Rfam family: 5.8S ribosomal RNA (bases 1-71)
Source: RNAcentral
GUGAAUCAUCGAAUCUUUGAACGCACAUUGCGCCCCGUGGUAUUCCGCGGGGCAUGCCUGUUCGAGCGUCAUUACACCCCUCAAGCGCGGCUUGGUGUUGGGCAUGGCCCGCGUGGCCGGCCCCAAAGACAGUGGCGGCGCCGCCUGGCCCUGAGCGCAGUACCGUCUCUCGCUCCAGGGCCCGGUGGGCGGCCUACCAGAACCCCAACUCAGUGGUUGACCUCGGAUCAGGCAGGGCUACCCGCUGAACUUAAGCAUAUCAAUAAGCGGAGGA